Molecule: unclassified non-coding RNA, 537 nt
Filed under: Candida albicans
Lineage: Eukaryota; Fungi; Ascomycota; Pichiomycetes; Serinales; Debaryomycetaceae
Description: sequence contains 18S rRNA gene, ITS1, 5.8S rRNA gene, ITS2, 28S rRNA gene
Rfam family: 5.8S ribosomal RNA (bases 183-336)
Source: RNAcentral
UCGUAACAAGGUUUCCGUAGGUGAACCUGCGGAAGGAUCAUUACUGAUUUGCUUAAUUGCACCACAUGUGUUUUUCUUUGAAACAAACUUUCUUUGGCGGUGGGCCCAGCCUGCCGCCAGAGGUCUAAACUUACAACCAAUUUUUUAUCAACUUGUCACACCAGAUUAUUACUAAUAGUCAAAACUUUCAACAACGGAUCUCUUGGUUCUCGCAUCGAUGAAGAACGCAGCGAAAUGCGAUACGUAAUAUGAAUUGCAGAUAUUCGUGAAUCAUCGAAUCUUUGAACGCACAUUGCGCCCUCUGGUAUUCCGGAGGGCAUGCCUGUUUGAGCGUCGUUUCUCCCUCAAACCGCUGGGUUUGGUGUUGAGCAAUACGACUUGGGUUUGCUUGAAAGACGGUAGUGGUAAGGCGGGAUCGCUUUGACAAUGGCUUAGGUCUAACCAAAAACAUUGCUUGCGGCGGUAACGUCCACCACGUAUAUCUUCAAACUUUGACCUCAAAUCAGGUAGGACUACCCGCUGAACCUAAGCAUAUCA